CUUUACUGCAGCUUCGCCUUGGCGUUAGCAGCAACAUGUGUAGGAUAGGUGGGAGGCUAUGAAACAGGGGCGCCAGUCCCUGCGGAGCCAUCCUUGAAAUACCACCCUUAUUGUUGCUGACGUCUAACCGCGGCCCGUUAUCCGGGUCCGGGACAUGGCGUGGCGGGCAGUUUGACUGGGGCGGUCGCCUCCCAAAGUGUAACGGAGGCGCGCGAUGGUGGGCUCAGACCGGUCGGAAAUCGGUCGUCGAGUGCAAUGGCAUAAGCCCGCCUGACUGCGAGACUGACAAGUCGAGCAGAGACGAAAGUCGGCCAUAGUGAUCCGGUGGUCCUGCGUGGAAGGGCCAUCGCUCAACGAAUAAAAGGUA
RNAcentral lists this ribosomal RNA (367 nucleotides) under uncultured organism. Its description in RNAcentral is "bacterial LSU rRNA". It matches the Rfam family "Bacterial large subunit ribosomal RNA", at positions 2099 to 2465 of the family's 2925-position model. The record is from RNAcentral.